Molecule: long non-coding RNA, 433 nt
Organism: Lagopus muta (rock ptarmigan)
Lineage: Eukaryota; Metazoa; Chordata; Aves; Galliformes; Phasianidae
Exons: 5
Source: RefSeq, a predicted model, not a curated record
CUCUGACGAACCUGGGACCUCAGCCUGCCCCAAUGGUCAUUUCCACUGCACCAACGCUGGGUACUGAUCCCAGAACAUCCCCUCUGGCCAUGUCAAUGAUGGCGUCUGUGCCCCCCUUCCAUGCUGCUGCCCCUGCUGCUGGCCCCCCCCCCCGGAUGCUGUGGAAGUGACGCGGCCCUGCGGCGUCUCACUGAGCAACCGUCACUUCUAUGAGGAAUCCCAGCCUUUCACCUGCCUGGACGGUUCCUCCACCAUCGCCUUCAAGUGGGUCAAUGACGACUAUUGCGACUGUCGCGACGGCUCUGACGAACCUGGGACCUCAGCCUGCCCCAAUGGCCAUUUCCACUGCACCAACGCUGGGUACCAACCCCAGAACAUCCCCUCUGCCCACAUCAAUGAUGGCGUUUGUGGUGGGGGGGGUCGUUGUGGUUUU